ACGCUCGACACCUACGGGAGGCAGCAGUGAGGAAUAUUGGUCAAUGGGCGCAGGCCUGAACCAGCCAAGUAGCGUGAAGGAUGACUGCCCUAUGGGUUGUAAACUUCUUUUAUAUGGGAAUAAAGUUUUCCACGUGUGGAAUUUUGUAUGUACCAUAUGAAUAAGGAUCGGCUAACUCCGUGCGAGCAGCCGCGGUAAUCUGAGCGGGCUGGCAAGGC
Molecule: ribosomal RNA, 218 nt
Filed under: uncultured bacterium
Lineage: Bacteria
Description: partial 16S ribosomal RNA
Rfam family: Bacterial small subunit ribosomal RNA
Source: RNAcentral